Paramuricea clavata is the source of this 609-nucleotide non-coding RNA. NCBI's taxonomy places the organism in Eukaryota, Metazoa, Cnidaria, Anthozoa, Malacalcyonacea, Plexauridae. The record is from the annotation of a GenBank genome assembly.
ACCCGAUACGUUAUUACAACUUGCUGAAAAACUCCAGGAUAUGAGCGAGAUUUCUUCCAUUAAGAAGUUCUGUUCUGUUAAUCUGUUUUAUUUUCUGGAGCAGUCUGUUCCACCAUGAUCUAUUUCUCUCGUUAAAAAUGCCAUUCAGUUUAAAUUUUGAAAGAUAAAUUGCUAUAAUAAGAGCCAUUAAUCAUGAAAUCGCCUUCAUCUUUGGUCAUUUUCCCGAAGCAAGUAUAAAAACUCAUAUAUAUCUCUAACUUAUAAUUGCCAUUCAAUUUUUUAAAGGUAAACUAUGAAAUGCUAAUAAGACCCGUUAAUCAUAACAGAAAAAUUGUCUUCGUCUUUGGCGAUAUAUUUUUCCGGAUCUUGCAACGAAACGGAAUUCUCGUCUCCAAUCUUGCUAUCAUUCCCAAUAACUUUGUCUUCUUCCGAAAUUUUAACAACAUUCUUUUGGUUACCAGAGCAGCGUUCUUCCUUCGACCCUUCAUCCAAUUUCUUUCCAAGUCCCUCGGACAUUUUCGCUUUUACAACGCCACGGAAAAACGUACACUUUCCCAAAAAAAUCUCAAGAAAAAUCUCCGCGCCGGCUUCCCCUAUAUUAAACUUGUA